GAUGAACGCUAGCUACAGGCUUAACACAUGCAAGUCGAGGGGAAACGACAUCGAAAGCUUGCUUUUGAUGGGCGUCGACCGGCGCACGGGUGAGUAACGCGUAUCCAACCUGCCCACCACUUGGGGAUAACCUUGCGAAAGUAAGACUAAUACCCAAUGAUAUCUCUAGAAGACAUCUGAAAGAGAUUAAAGAUUUAUCGGUGAUGGAUGGGGAUGCGUCUGAUUAGCUUGUUGGCGGGGUAACGGCCCACCAAGGCAACGAUCAGUAGGGGUUCGGAGAGGAAGGUCCCCCACAUUGGAACUGAGACACGGUCCAAACUCCUACGGGAGGCAGCAGUGAGGAAUAGUGGUCAAUGGACGAGAGUCUGAACCAGCCAAGUAGCGUGCAGGAAGACGGCCCUAUGGGUUGUAAACUGCUUUUAUAAGGGAAUAAAGUGAGUCUCGGGAGACUUUUUGCAUGUACCUUAUGAAUAAGGACCGGCUAAUUCCGUG
RNAcentral lists this ribosomal RNA (492 nucleotides) under uncultured bacterium. RNAcentral's name for it is "partial 16S ribosomal RNA". It matches the Rfam family "Bacterial small subunit ribosomal RNA", at positions 28 to 507 of the family's 1533-position model. The record is from RNAcentral.